AUGACAAAGAGACAGACAGUGGAGGCGCUAGACAAAAGCAUGCGGGACAUAAUGAAUAGACCAGAUCUUCCAUUUGGUGGAAAAACGAUCGUAUUUGGGGGAGAUUUUAGACAAGUGCUACCUGUUGUCCGAAAGGGAACAAGAGCCCAGAUAGUAGAUGCAUCACUACGCGGGUCGGAGCUCUGGAAUUGCAUGCAAUACCUACUACGCAUUGGAAAUGGAACCGAGGAGACAAAUGAUGAUGGUGAAAUACUUCUACCUACAAGUAUAUGUGUGCCAAAUAAGACGGAUGAUACCGCCUUGGGUAGACUUAUUGACAGUAUCUACCAAACGGGGAAUGCUUACCUAAAAGAUCCAGAGUACAUCACCUCAAGAGCAAUUUUAUCCACAAGGAAUGACUGCGUAGACAAGAUCAACCUAAAAAUGAUUGAUCGCUUCCAAGGGGAGGAGAUGGUGUACCACAGCUUCGAUUCAGUAGAAGAUGACCCACAUAACUACUAUCCACCAGAAUUCCUAAACACCCUAACCCCAAAUGGACUGCCUCCACAUAUGCUGAAGCUCAAAAAAAAUUGUCCAAUCAUACUACUCAGGAACAUCGACCCUACUAAUGGGCUCUGCAACGGCACCAGACUGGUCCUACGUGGAUUUCAGAAAAAUGCAAUUGAUGCAAAGAUUGUGGUAGGGCAGCACUCUGGAAUGCGAGUUUUCUUGCCUCGGAUACCAUUAUGCCCAUCUGACGACGACAUGUUCCCGUUCAGUUUUAAGAGAAAACAGUUUCCAGUCAGACUCAGUUUUGCAAUGACAAUAAACAAAUCACAAGGCCAGUGUCUACCUGCCUGA
RNAcentral lists this ribosomal RNA (840 nucleotides) under Triticum aestivum (bread wheat). RNAcentral's name for it is "partial small subunit ribosomal RNA". The record is from RNAcentral. Lineage: Eukaryota; Viridiplantae; Streptophyta; Magnoliopsida; Poales; Poaceae.